GCUGAAGCCUGGUGCUUGCACCGGGUGGAUGAGUGGCGAACGGGUGAGUAACACGUGAGUAACCUGCCCCUGACUUCGGGAUAAGCCCGGGAAACUGGGUCUAAUACCGGAUACGACUGCCGGACGCAUGUCUGGUGGUGGAAAGUUUUUUCGGUUGGGGAUGGGCUCGCGGCCUAUCAGUUUGUUGGUGAGGUAAUGGCUCACCAAGACGACGACGGGUAGCCGGCCUGAGAGGGCGACCGGCCACACUGGGACUGAGACACGGCCCAGACUCCUACGGGAGGCAGCAGUGGGGAAUAUUGCACAAUGGGGGAAACCCUGAUGCAGCGACGCAGCGUGCGGGAUGACGGCCUUCGGGUUGUAAACCGCUUUCAGCAGGGAAGAAGCGCAAGUGACGGUACCUGCAGAAGAAGUACCGGCUAACUACGUGCCAGCAGCCGCGGUAAUACGUAGGGUACGAGCGUUGUCCGGAAUUAUUGGGCGUAAAGAGCUCGUAGGUGGUUGGUCACGUCUGCUGUGGAAACGCAACGCUUAACGUUGCGCGUGCAGUGGGUACGGGCUGACUAGAGUGCAGUAGGGGAGUCUGGAAUUCCUGGUGUAGCGGUGAAAUGCGCAGAUAUCAGGAGGAACACCGGUGGCGAAGGCGGGACUCUGGGCUGUAACUGACACUGAGGAGCGAAAGCAUGGGGAGCGAACAGGAUUAGAUACCCUGGUAGUCCAUGCCGUAAACGUUGGGCACUAGGUGUGGGGGGGCAUUCCACGUUCUCCGCGCCGUAGCUAACGCAUUAAGUGCCCCGCCUGGGGGAGUACGGUCGCAAGGCUAAACUCAAAGGAAUUGACGGGGGCCCGCACAAGCGGCGGAGCAUGCGGAUUAAUUCGAUGCAACGCGAAGAACCUUACCAAGGCUUGACAUACACCGGACCGUCCUGGAAACAGGUCCUCUU
Molecule: ribosomal RNA, 944 nt
Filed under: uncultured bacterium
Lineage: Bacteria
Description: bacterial SSU rRNA
Rfam family: Bacterial small subunit ribosomal RNA
Source: RNAcentral